GGCAGGGAGAAGUUUGGGAGGAUGGACAAGAUGGAGGGACUGAUGAGGAAUAUGAAGUUGUCGGCAGCGGAGAGGAAGGCGGUGAUGGUGCCCAGGCCGAGGGAGGGGUCGAUGCUCUUUGCGGAUCCACAGGCGGUUGGGAGAGUGUUUUCGGAGAAGCCUGCAUCACGGGAGGCGCUUGAGCAAUCCUUGGGGAGGGUCUGGUGUCCCAGCAGGGGUCUGGUGUGCAAAGAUCUGGGACAAAAUACCUUCCUAUUCACCUUCAUGCAGGCAUCAGGGAAACGGAAGGCAUUGGAGGAGGGUCCUUGGAUGUAUGACCAUGAUUUGAUUGUUAUGAUUGACUAUGACCCAACGAAGACUAUUGAGGAGAUGGAGUUCCUGAGAAUCCCAAUCUGGGUUAAGGUCAUGGGGCUUCUAGUUGGUCUCAUGGAUAACUACACCGGGGAAGCGAUCGGGGCCAAGCUGGGCCAGUUUUUGGAGAUGGAUGCAGAUGAGGAUGGUUCAGCAGCUGGGGCAUUUAUCAGAAUUAAGGUGUGGCUCGACAUACGAGAGCCCCUUUUGCGGGGUGUGUUCAUUCCGGUUGAAGGCAAGAACAAGGAGGUAAGGGAGAAAUGGUGUACCUUUCAGUAUGAGUUUCUCCCCAACUACUGUUAUGUGCGUGGCCUGUUAGGACAUAUGAGAGAUGUCUAUCCGUAG
This 696-nucleotide ribosomal RNA is filed under the name Triticum aestivum (bread wheat). RNAcentral's name for it is "partial small subunit ribosomal RNA". The record is from RNAcentral. Lineage: Eukaryota; Viridiplantae; Streptophyta; Magnoliopsida; Poales; Poaceae.